This 99-nucleotide ribosomal RNA is filed under the name uncultured bacterium. RNAcentral's name for it is "partial 16S ribosomal RNA". The record is from RNAcentral.
CCAUGCCGCGUGGUGAUGAAGGCCUAGGGUUGUAAAGCCCUUUCGGCGGGGAAGAUAAUGACGGUACCCGCACGAAGAAGCCCCGGACUAACUUCGUGC